This 862-nucleotide ribosomal RNA is filed under the name Aspergillus amstelodami. RNAcentral describes it as "partial 18S ribosomal RNA". The stretch from base 479 to 632 matches the Rfam family "5.8S ribosomal RNA". The record is from RNAcentral. Lineage: Eukaryota; Fungi; Ascomycota; Eurotiomycetes; Eurotiales; Aspergillaceae.
UGUCAUCACAGACCUGUUAUUGCCUCGCACUUCCAUCGGCUUGAGCCGAUAGUCCCCCUAAGAAGCCAGCGGCCCGCAAAUGCGGACCGGGCUAUUUAAGGGCCGAGGUCUCGUUCGUUAUCGCAAUUAAGCAGACAAAUCACUCCACCAACUAAGAACGGCCAUGCACCACCAUCCAAAAGAUCAAGAAAGAGCUCUCAAUCUGUCAAUCCUUAUUUUGUCUGGACCUGGUGAGUUUCCCCGUGUUGAGUCAAAUUAAGCCGCAGGCUCCACGCCUUGUGGUGCCCUUCCGUCAAUACCUUUAAGUUAGUAGGGUGACCUGCGGAAGGAUCAUUACCGAGUGCGGGCCCUCUGGGUCCACCUCCCAUCCGUGUCUAUCUGUACCCUGUUGCUUCGGCGUGGCCACGGCCCGCCGGAGACUAACAUUUGAACGCUGUCUGAAGUUUGCAGUCUGAGUUCUUAGUUAAACAAUCGUUAAAACUUUCAACAACGGAUCUCUUGGUUCCGGCAUCGAUGAAGAACGCAGCGAAAUGCGAUAAUUAAUGUGAAUUGCAGAAUUCAGUGAAUCAUCGAGUCUUUGAACGCACAUUGCGCCCCCUGGUAUUCCGGGGGGCAUGCCUGUCCGAGCGUCAUUGCUGCCCUCAAGCACGGCUUGUGUGUUGGGCUUCCGUCCCUGGCAACGGGGACGGGCCCAAAAGGCAGUGGCGGCACCAUGUCUGGUCCUCGAGCGUAUGGGGCUUUGUCACCCGCUCCCGUAGGUCCAGCUGGCAGCUAGCCUCGCAACCAAUCUUUUUAACCAGGUGACCUCGGAUCAGGUAGGGAUACCCGCUGAACUUAAGCAUAUCAAUAAGCGGAGGAAACG